GGCGUAGGCGGCUUGAUAAGUGGGGCGUGAAAUCCUCCGGCUCAACCGGAGACCUGCGCUCCAAACUGUCUAGCUUGAGUCCGGGAGAGGAGACGGGAAUUCCUGGUGUAGCGGUGAAAUGCGCAGAUAUCAGGAAGAACACCGGUGGCGAAGGCGCGUCUCUGGACCGGUACUGACGCUGAGGCCCGAAAGCAGGGGGAGCAAACA
Molecule: ribosomal RNA, 207 nt
Filed under: uncultured bacterium
Lineage: Bacteria
Description: partial 16S ribosomal RNA
Rfam family: Bacterial small subunit ribosomal RNA
Source: RNAcentral